This 469-nucleotide ribosomal RNA is filed under the name uncultured bacterium. RNAcentral describes it as "bacterial SSU rRNA". It matches the Rfam family "Bacterial small subunit ribosomal RNA", at positions 28 to 522 of the family's 1533-position model. The record is from RNAcentral.
GACGAACGCUGGCGGCGUGCCUAAUACAUGCAAGUCGAGCGAGGAGCUUUUAGCUCCUAGCGGCGAACGGGUGAGUAACACGUGGGCAACCUGCCCGUAAGACUGGAAUAACUUCGGGAAACCGGAGCUAAUACCGGAUAAUCUUGAUCUUCGCAUGAAGGACAAGUAAAAGAUUUAUCACUUACGGAUGGGCCCGCGGUGCAUUAGCUUGUUGGUGGGGUAAUGGCCUACCAAGGCGACGAUGCAUAGCCGACCUGAGAGGGUGACCGGCCACACUGGGACUGAGACACGGCCCAGACUCCUACGGGAGGCAGCAGUAGGGAAUUUUCCGCAAUGGGCGAAAGCCUGACGGAGCAACGCCGCGUGAAUGAUGACGGCCUUCGGGUUGUAAAAUUCUGUUCUAAGGGAAGAAGUUCUGACGGUACCUUAGGAGAAAGCCACGGCUAACUACGUGCCAGCCGCCGCGGUA